RNAcentral lists this ribosomal RNA (393 nucleotides) under uncultured bacterium. Its description in RNAcentral is "bacterial SSU rRNA". It matches the Rfam family "Bacterial small subunit ribosomal RNA", at positions 149 to 518 of the family's 1533-position model. The record is from RNAcentral.
CGCCGAAAGGGGUACGUAAUACCGGAUAUUCUUGCUUUUCUAUAAGUUAUGCAAGCAAAGGUGGCCUCUGCAUAUGCUACUGCAUGAAGAGGGGUCUGCGUACCAUUAGCUAGUAGGUGGGGUAAUGGCCUACCUAGGCGACGAUGGUUAGCGGGUCUGAGAGGAUGAUCCGCCACACUGGCACUGGAACACGGGCCAGACUCCUACGGGAGGCAGCAGUGAGGAAUAUUGCGCAAUGGGGGAAACCCUGACGCAGCGACGCCGCGUGAGUGGAAGGAAGGCCUUCGGGUCGUAAAGCUCUGUCAAGAGGAAAGAAGUGUACAAUGGCUAAUACCUGUUGUAUUUGACGGUACCUCUAAAGGAAGCACCGGCUAACUCCGUGCCAGCAGCCGC